Molecule: ribosomal RNA, 425 nt
Filed under: uncultured eukaryotic phytoplankton
Lineage: Eukaryota
Description: bacterial SSU rRNA
Rfam family: Bacterial small subunit ribosomal RNA
Source: RNAcentral
GGAAUUUUCCGCAAUGGGCGAAAGUCUGACGGAGCGACGCUGCGUGAAGGAUGAAGGCCCGUGGGUUGUAAACUUCUUUUCUCGAGGAAGAAAAAAAUGACGGUAUUCGAGGAAUAAGCAUCGGCUAACUCUGUGCCAGCAGCCGCGGUAAGACAGAGGAUGCAAGUGUUAUUCGGAAUGACUGGGCGUAAAGAGUCUGUAGGCGGUUUAGAAAGUCUUUCGUGAAAUACUUCAGCUCAACUGAGGCUCCGCAAAAGAAACUUCUAGACUUGAGGAAAGUAGAGGUACAGGGAAUCUCCGGUGGAGCGGUGAAAUGCGUAGAUAUCGGAAGGAACACCAAUAUGGCGAAGGCACUGUACUGGGCUUUUCCUGACGCUAAGAGACGAAAGCUGAGGGAGUGAUUAGGAUUAGAUACCCCAGUAGUC